UACGAAGGGGGCUAGCGUUGCUCGGAAUGACUGGGCGUAAAGCGCGCGCAGGUGGUUUCUUAAGUCUGAUGUGAAAGCCCACGGCUCAACCGUGGAGGGUCAUUGGAAACUGGGGAACUUGAGUGCAGAAGAGGAAAGUGGAAUUCCAAGUGUAGCGGUGAAAUGCGUAGAGAUUUGGAGGAACACCAGUGGCGAAGGCGACUUUCUGGUCUGUAACUGACACUGAGGCGCGAAAGCGUGGGGAGCAAACAGG
RNAcentral lists this ribosomal RNA (253 nucleotides) under uncultured bacterium. RNAcentral describes it as "partial 16S ribosomal RNA". It matches the Rfam family "Bacterial small subunit ribosomal RNA", at positions 524 to 776 of the family's 1533-position model. The record is from RNAcentral.